GAUGAACGCUGGCGGCGUGCCUAAUACAUGCCAGUCGAGCGAACAGACGAGGAGCUUGCUCCUCUGACGUUAGCGGCGGACGGGUGAGUAACACGUGGAUAACCUACCUAUAAGACUGGGAUAACUUCGGGAAACCGGAGCUAAUACCGGAUAAUAUAUUGAACCGCAUGGUUCAAUAGUGAAAGACGGUUUUGCUGUCACUUAUAGAUGGAUCCGCGCCGCAUUAGCUAGUUGGUAAGGUAACGGCUUACCAAGGCGACGAUGCGUAGCCGACCUGAGAGGGUGAUCGGACACACUGGAACUGAGACACGGUCCAGACUCCUACGGGAGGCAGCAGUAGGGAAUCUUCCGCAAUGGGCGAAAGCUUGACGGAGCAACGCCGCGUGAGUGAUGAAGGUCUUCGGAUCGUAAAACUCUGUUAUUAGGGAAGAACAAAUGUGUAAGUAACUAUGCACGUCUUGACGGUACCUAAUCAGAAAGCCACGGCUAACUACGUG
Molecule: ribosomal RNA, 497 nt
Filed under: uncultured bacterium
Lineage: Bacteria
Description: partial 16S ribosomal RNA
Rfam family: Bacterial small subunit ribosomal RNA
Source: RNAcentral